UGGCAUCCUUGUUUAGGUGUUGUUUAGG
RNAcentral lists this non-coding RNA (28 nucleotides) under Mus musculus (house mouse). Lineage: Eukaryota; Metazoa; Chordata; Mammalia; Rodentia; Muridae. The record is from RNAcentral.